Triticum dicoccoides is the source of this 2289-nucleotide RNA transcript. It is a transcript of the gene named pentatricopeptide repeat-containing protein At5g15300-like, with no coding region annotated. The transcript is spliced from 3 exons. The record is from RefSeq and is a predicted model, not a curated record. Lineage: Eukaryota; Viridiplantae; Streptophyta; Magnoliopsida; Poales; Poaceae.
CGCCUUUUACGCGCACACAACGCAGAUGUUGCGGAAGUCCGGCACCCAGCGCCGGCAGCCGGCGCUGUGGCGGCGGUGCCGUAGCCUCCGCCAAAUCAAGCAGGUCCACACCCUCCUGGUCCUCCGGGGCUUCCUCUCGGACCCCUCCGCGCUCCGCGAGCUCCUCUUCGCGUCCGCUGUAGCCGUGCGCGGCGCCAUCGCCCACGCCUACCACGUGUUCGACCAAAUCCCGCGCCCGGACCUCUUCAUGUACAACACCCUCAUCCGCGGCGCCGCGCACACCUCCGCGCCCCGGGACGCCGUCUCCCUCUACGCGCGCAUGGCGCGACUCAGCAGCUGCGGCGGCGGCGUGAGGCCCGACAAGAUCACCUUCCCGUUCGUGCUCCGGGCGUGCACCGCCAUGGGCGCGGGUGGCACCGGAGCGCAGGUGCACGCGCACGUCGUGAAGGCUGGACUGGAGUCCGACGCGUUCGUCAAGAACGCGCUCAUUGGCAUGCACGCGAGCUGCGGAGAGCUGGGUGUUGCAGGUGCUCUGUUUGACCACAGGGCGCGUGAGGACGCCGUGGCGUGGUCGGCGAUGAUCAGCGGCUGUGCAAGGAGAGGGGAUAUUGGUGCUGCCCGGCAGCUGUUCGACGAGUGUCCUGUGAAGGACCUUGUGUCCUGGAACGUGAUGAUCACCGCGUAUGCCAAGCGGGGAGAGAUGGCCCCAGCAAGAGAGCUGUUCGACCAGGCACCUGAGCGUGAUGUCGUGUGCUGGAACGCCAUGAUCUCUGGGUAUGUGAGAUGCGGCUCGCACAAGCAUGCCAUGGACCUGUUUGAGCAGAUGCAGCGCAUGGGCAAAAAGCCAGAUGUUAUCACAAUGCUGAGCUUACUGUCAGCUUGUGCCGACUCCGGUGAUUUGGAUGUUGGCCGAAGGUUGCAUUCCUCUCUUUCAGAGAAGUUCUCAGGAACUGGUUUUACUGUCGUCCUCGGCAAUGCGCUGAUUCACAUGUACGCAAAAUGCGGGAGCAUGAAGAGUGCACUGGAGGUGUUUUGGGUGAUGCGAGAUAAGGAUGUCUCAACUUGGAACUCUAUCAUAGGAGGUUUGGCAUUGCAUGGUCAUGCCCUGGAGUCUGUUGACGUGUUCAAGAAAAUGCUGAAAGAGAAAGUCCGGCCUGAUGAGAUCACCUUCGUCGCUGUCCUUAUCGCAUGCAGCCACGGCGGUAUGGUUGACAAGGGACGUGAGUACUUCAACUUGAUGCAACAGCAGUACAGGAUUGAGCCCAAUGUCAAGCAUUACGGUUGCAUGGUUGACAUGCUGGGUCGCGCGGGGCUUCUGAAGGAAGCAUUUGAGUUCAUUGACACCAUGAAGGUGGAGCCUAAUUCUGUCAUCUGGAGGACGCUUCUUGGGGCUUGUAGGGUCCAUGGUGAGAUUGAACUGGCUGAGCACGCUAACAGACAGCUGCUAAAGGCAAGGAGCGAUGACAGUGGGGAUUAUGUGCUCCUCUCGAACAUCUAUGCUUCAGCUGGAGAAUGGUUGGAGUCGGAGAAGAUGAGAAAGUUGAUGGAUGACAGCGGUGUCAACAAGGAGGCAGGUCGCACGGUUGUAGAUGGCAGCACAAAGGAUCCACUGCAGUCUUUCAGACGGUCGAAAUCACAUCCUGGACUGAAAGGAUUUAUUGGUUGAAUUGAUGAGUUCGUGAUGUACAAAAAGAGAAUGCCUUAGAAAGCCUGGUCAUACGAAAGAGGAAUUAUUACUAUUGAGAUAUUAUGGUGACGGUGUUUAGCAGUCAUAAAAGAUAAAUGGAUGUGAGGCGAACAAGGGUCCUCAAAAAGAUUUUUCUCCAAUUUCAAGAUAAUUUGCCUAACCGUCGAGAGCCAGGACGUGCAUCCAGUAGCAACUUUAACAUUGUCUACACAUCAAACAAACCACCAAGAACAAGAGCAAAAGAGCCAGUUUCAUCUAUCACCACCAAGAACAAGAGCAAAAGAACCAGCUUCAUCUAUCUACCACUACAUCGUAGAGACAAACCCAGCUGGAUGAUCAACACCUCAGGUGUAAGAAGAGAACAAGAGCUUCACAAUUCUGCAUCCAGUAUCCACUAUCACUACGUGUAGAUCACCUAUGCAUGUACCAACUAGAUGUACCCUUUGUUGAUCACCUAUGCAUGUAUCAACUACAUGUACCCUAUCCUUGUAUGAACUGCUUUGCUAUGUUCAAGUUUUGGGAGGACUUACCCGAUAUUUAGAAAAAACUAAAUAGCUUAUCGAUCUACGUGGCGCGGCGUGCCGCCGCGCAUUACCCGCUAC